This 640-nucleotide long non-coding RNA is filed under the name Capsicum annuum. RNAcentral's name for it is "long non-coding RNA (CANN_LNC015433)". The record is from RNAcentral. Lineage: Eukaryota; Viridiplantae; Streptophyta; Magnoliopsida; Solanales; Solanaceae.
AAAAAAGUGAAGAUUCUGAGCAAAUGGGCAAGACUAAACUACAAAAAAUCAAAUCUUUUUCAUGAAUUGAAUAAAAAACCCCAUAAAAACCAAAUCUUGAAGCAAAAAACUGAUUAAACAAGUGAAGAUUCUGAGCAGAUGGGCAAGACUAAAACCACAAAAAAAAUCGAUCUUUUUUAUGAAUUAAAUCAAAAAAACACCAGAAUAACAAAAUCUUGAAGCAAAAAGAACUGAUUAAAGAAGUUACAUUGAUACACACAACCUUAAAAACAAAAAAAAAAACAGUCCACAUCAAGAACUUAGAACAAAUGAUCCUCAAGAAACAACAACAACAACAACAACAUCAUACCCAGUGAAAUUCCACAAGUGAGGGAUCCUCAAGAAACAAGCAAACAUAAAAUAAAUUUUGGAUCUUUAUAACAUAAACCAAAGAUUAGCAGAAAAUUACCCUAAGAUUAAUUAGCAGCUAUGACUGUCAAAAAAAAACAAGUAGCUGCUUCAUUCUCUGUUACCCCAUUUCCUUUCUUGUUCAUCCUUUGUCAUUCACUCUCUCUAGUUGGUACUGUGUCAAUGUGACAAUCUGUAAAAAUAAAAAGUACUUAGACAAAUAUGAAAGAACUGCUCCUUUGAAUAUUAGUAG